This 306-nucleotide ribosomal RNA is filed under the name Triticum aestivum (bread wheat). Its description in RNAcentral is "partial small subunit ribosomal RNA". Lineage: Eukaryota; Viridiplantae; Streptophyta; Magnoliopsida; Poales; Poaceae. The record is from RNAcentral.
AUGGAUUAUUCCUCUUCCACACAGUUCCUUCCAAAAGGAUAUUCUUCGGAUGAGCAAAUCGAUUGCUUCCGGCGACCUGCUGGGCUAAGAUUCUCACUGGAUCCGCUCUUGCGCCAAGGAUGCGGUGGCGCCGCCGGCGGCCGCACGGAGACGCCGGCACAGGCGAGCUUUCGCGAGGUGAACCAAGUAGCUAUCGACCUGCGUGGAGCAGCGCGGCGCAGCAGGCACCAAGGAGCGGAACCUGGGUGCAUCAGUGCGGCAAGUAGCAGUGCAGGUAUUGGAGGCUUCUACAAUAUCAUGUCUUAG